RNAcentral lists this transfer RNA (65 nucleotides) under Sclerodermus sichuanensis. Its description in RNAcentral is "tRNA-Leu". RNAcentral also lists the same sequence under 2 other names. The record is from RNAcentral. Lineage: Eukaryota; Metazoa; Arthropoda; Insecta; Hymenoptera; Bethylidae.
UUUAAUAUGGCAGAUUAAGUGUAUUAGAUUUAAACUCUAAAAAUAAAGAAUUCCUUUUAUUAAAA